UCUUAGCUUGCUAAGGCCGAUGGCGACCGGCGCACGGGUGAGUAACACGUAUCCCCCCUUCCGUCUACUCUUGGACAGCCUUCUGAAAGGAAGAUUAAUACAAGAUGGCAUCAUGAGUCCGCAUGUUCACAUGAUUAAAGGUAUUCCGGUAGACGAUGGGGAUGCGUUCCAUUAGAUAGUAGGCGGGGUAACGGCCCACCUAGUCUUCGAUGGAUAGGGGUUCUGAGAGGAAGGUCCCCCACAUUGGAACUGAGACACGGUCCAAACUCCUACGGGAGGCAGCAGUGAGGAAUAUUGGUCAAUGGGCGAGAGCCUGAACCAGCCAAGUAGCGUGAAGGAUGACUGCCCUAUGGGUUGUAAACUUCUUUUAUAAAGGAAUAAAGUCGGGUAUGGAUACCCGUUUGCAUGUACUUUAUGAAUAAGGAUCGGCUAACUCCGUGCCAGCAGCCGCGGUAAUACGGAGGAUCCGAGCGUUAUCCGGAUUUAUUGGGUUUAAAGGGAGCGUAGAUGGAUGUUUAAGUCAGUUGUGAAAGUUUGCGGCUCAACCGUAAAAUUGCAGUUGAUACUGGGUAUCUUGAGUGCAGUUGAGGCAGGCGGAAUUCGUGGUGUAGCGGUGAAAUGCUUAGAUAUCACGAAGAACUCCGAUUG
RNAcentral lists this ribosomal RNA (648 nucleotides) under uncultured Bacteroides sp. RNAcentral describes it as "bacterial SSU rRNA". It matches the Rfam family "Bacterial small subunit ribosomal RNA", at positions 73 to 715 of the family's 1533-position model. Lineage: Bacteria; Pseudomonadati; Bacteroidota; Bacteroidia; Bacteroidales; Bacteroidaceae. The record is from RNAcentral.